GGCGACUCUGGAUGUGGGUCAGCCAGACUUGGAGUAACUCUGGCUGAGAGCUGAUCUACACACAGGUCACACACAGAUCUGUUUGUGGUAGUGGAGAAGCUGGGAUCAGCUCAUAGAGGACUCCUGUUGUGGAAGACCCAGGAGUGUAGUAGGUUUUACUUUUUAAGGAGUAACCCAUUAAAAAUGAAAACAAGAAGGGGCCUUUGAUCUGCGCUUGGAGCCCUAGAGAACCACAACCAAAAAUGGAAUUAAAAUUCCAUAGUCGGAAGAGAGAAGAAAGAAUCAGUGCAUAAGUGACCCUCAAAUUUAACACCUAAGUUGAAGAAUGUUAAGCUGUUUUUGCCUUCAGUGUUUUUCUAUCUUAACUGAAGAAUUAAAAUGGACUGGGCAAGAAUUCCACAUAUACUCCAGAAACCGCCCAUAAAAGAAAAAAGAGCUUUUCAUCAUUUGGGAAAGUAUUUCCUUGAUGGGUUUGUAUUCAUCAAUAAACUAUAUCUUGCUUCAAAACAUGAA
Molecule: long non-coding RNA, 513 nt
Organism: Hyaena hyaena (striped hyena)
Lineage: Eukaryota; Metazoa; Chordata; Mammalia; Carnivora; Hyaenidae
Exons: 2
Source: RefSeq, a predicted model, not a curated record